AACGCUGGCGGCGUGCCUAACACAUGCAAGUCGAACGAGGUCCAUCCUUCGGGAGAAGACCUAGUGGCGAACGGGUGAGUAACACGUGAGGAACCUGCCCCGGAGACCGGGAUAACCCUCCGAAAGGAGAGCUAAUACCGGAUACCCCCACCGAACCGCAUGGUUUGGUGAGGAAAUGGAUUCCGCUUCGGGAGGGCCUCGCGGCCUAUCAGCUAGUUGGUGGGGUAACGGCCCACCAAGGCAUCGACGGGUAGCUGGUCUGAGAGGACGAUCAGCCACACUGGGACUGAGACACGGCCCAGACUCCUACGGGAGGCAGCAGUGGGGAAUCUUGCGCAAUGGGCGAAAGCCUGACGCAGCAACGCCGCGUGGGGAUGAAGGCUCUCGGGUUGUAAACCCCUUUCAGCAGGGACGAAUCAAGACGGUACCUGCAGAAGAAGCCCCGGCUAACUACGUG
This 457-nucleotide ribosomal RNA is filed under the name uncultured bacterium. Its description in RNAcentral is "bacterial SSU rRNA". It matches the Rfam family "Bacterial small subunit ribosomal RNA", at positions 32 to 507 of the family's 1533-position model. The record is from RNAcentral.